AUAUUCUGACCUAAAUGUCGAGCCCCAG
RNAcentral lists this non-coding RNA (28 nucleotides) under Mus musculus (house mouse). The record is from RNAcentral. Lineage: Eukaryota; Metazoa; Chordata; Mammalia; Rodentia; Muridae.